AGUGAACGCUGGCGGUAGGCCUAACACAUGCAAGUCGAACGGCAGCACAGUAAGAGCUUGCUCUUACGGGUGGCGAGUGGCGGACGGGUGAGGAAUACAUCGGAAUCUACUUUUUCGUGGGGGUUAACGUAGGGAAACUUACGCUAAUACCGCAUACGACCUACGGGUGAAAGCAUUGGUUCUUCGGACCUUGCGCGUUUGAAUGAGCCGAUGUCGGAUUAGCUAGUUGGCUGGGUAAAGGCCCACCAAGGCGACGAUCCGUAGCUGGUCUGAGAGGAUGAUCAGCGACACUGGAACUGAGACACGGUCCAGAGUCCUACGGGAGGCAGCAGUGGGGAAUAUUGGACAACGGGCGGAAGCAUGAUGCAGCAAUACCGCGUGGGUGAAGAAGGCCUUAGGGUUGUAAAGGACUUUUGUUGGGAAAGAAAAGAAGCAGGUUAAUACACCGAUGUUCUGACGGUACCAAAAGAAUAAGCACCGGCUAACUUCGUG
Molecule: ribosomal RNA, 492 nt
Filed under: uncultured bacterium
Lineage: Bacteria
Description: partial 16S ribosomal RNA
Rfam family: Bacterial small subunit ribosomal RNA
Source: RNAcentral